This 511-nucleotide long non-coding RNA is filed under the name Penaeus japonicus. RNAcentral's name for it is "uncharacterized LOC122262221". Lineage: Eukaryota; Metazoa; Arthropoda; Malacostraca; Decapoda; Penaeidae. The record is from RNAcentral.
CUGGUGUGGCCUGGGUAGGCGUGAACGGCGAUGCUGAAGCGCUGACCUGUUAUAGAUUCAUCUCCCGUCUUCCUCGCCCUCUUACGCGUCGGGGGGAUAGCAUUUCCAUACGAGGAACCACUUGGAUACCCUUUUUUUUAUAUAGACGAUGUGUGUUUGAAAUGUCGGUAGUCACAGAGUGAGUGUUCAGGAUGAGUUCAGUGGUUCCAGAACAAGGACUGUGAUAAAGGCUGUGUAAAUCUAGUAUUGGUUUCAUGAAGGGGAUAUAUAUGUGGUGAAAAUAAUUAUGAACUACGUAUUGUGGUCUCAGUGUGUUUGUUUCCAUGUAAGUGAAAGUAGCCGGCCGGGUUAUGAAGUGCAGGAUAUUCAGAGAAGGAAAGAAAUGUCACACGAACACUUUGAUACGGUGAAGUGAAGGGAAAGAAAACAAAAUAAUUGAAGGGAAUAAGUCAAAUACAUACAGUGUUGGUGUUAUAUGUGUUUCGAGACAGGAUAUUUCGUCAGUGAAAAG